CUGGAAUUCAGAAUUCUGCAUCGUGUGUUUCCGUACUUUUCCCAAUGAAAAAGCUUUGUAUUCAAGUCCUUUUGUUCUGUGUGCUCCCUCUGUCCACCCAGGUACAUUUGUAAAUUCGUUUUUAGUGGCUGACUUGUUUUUUGUGCCUGAAACAGGUGCACCAGCAUCCCACCUGCAAACAGAAGACUGCACAGGGGAGAGUUUAGAGGGAGAAGGUAGAGAGAGUAGAGAUGUUAGUAAGGGGGCGUGUGAGGCAGACAAAAUCUGGAAUAUAAUUUUCACACAAUUUGAGAUUCUGCAACAGAAGGAAGGUACAUUGGAGAAGAAUGGCCAACAUGAAAGUGAAGGAACAAAAUUAAUUUCAGAAAGUGAGAAGGGGGAGCAAAAGGCUGAGAAACUGGGUGGGAAAGAAGAGAUGAAAAAUGAUGCUAGGGAGAAUGAAGGAAAAUAGGAAAAGAAAAAGAAAAAAAUGGAGAUGAAAAGGUUAAUCUCUGAUAUUAAGGGAGACUUAGAAUUUAUUGAAAUUGCGAGCUGAAGGAAAUCGCACUUCUGAAUUCCAGAUUCACCUGGUCCAAUCUAUAGGAAAAUCCCCUUUGCUUGAAACUGGAUAGAUUCCAUUUUUAACUUAGAUUGGGAUAAUCAUUGGGGAGAUUUGGUUUCCAGAGCCUUGCCUAGGGUCACCUCUGAUCACUGUCCCAUUAAAAUAGGGGUGGAAUCAUUUGUCAAUGGACCUAAACCUUUCAAAUUUGAAAACAUGUGGCUAACACACCCUAAUUUUGUGAAUAAAAUGAAGGAAUGGUAAGGUGAGGAGUUAAGCAGUGUAGAGUGGAAGGGUGUAAAAUUCUAUAAGAAAUUGAAGAGACUAAGAUGCACAACAAAAGAGUGGAAUAUGGAUCAUUUUGGGAAAAUUGAGGAACAAAAAAUGAGAUUAAUAUCUCGGAUUGAAGAGUUGGAUGAAAAGGAAUCUCAAAAUAAUUUGAACGAGUGUGAUAGAGAAUUGAGAAGACGGUUGAAGAAGGACCUAGAAGAGGUGUUUUUGAGAGAGGAAAUUAAAUGGAGGCAGAAAUCAAGGCACAAGUGGAUUAAGAAAGGUGAUGGGAAUACUAGAUUCUUUCGUGAUUUAGCAAAUGGAAGGAGGAGGAAGAAUUUUGUGACCAAAUUAGAGAUAUGAGAGGAGAUUAUUACCAAUUAAGAUGAGAUAGCCAGGAAAGCACAUAGUAAGUCGCAGAGUUAAUGCUACUUUUUUUUGCUCUAAUCCCUAAGAAUCCUAAUGCUAGCCACCUAAAAGAUUUUGGGCCAAUUAGUUGGGUGACAAGCAUUUACAAAAUCUUGGCUAAAGUGCUCUCCUUGAGGAUUAAAGCAAUUCUCCCCUCCAUUAUCAGUCAAGCCCAAGGGGCUUUUAUUCACGGAAGACAAAAUAACUGAUCAAAUUUUGAUUGCCAAUAAAUGUGAAGAGAUGAAAAGGUUUGGAAAAAGAGGCUUUAUGUGUAAAAUGGAUCUUGAGAAGGCUUAUGAUUUGGUGGAUUGGUAGUUUCUUUUAGAGGUGUUGAGGAGGUGCGAGUUUGGGCAGAGGUGGUGUAUCUGGAUACUUGGGUGUAUUAGUACUUGUCAUAACUCAAUAUUGGUGAAUGGAGUAGUGAAGGACUUGUUUUCAACUUGUAGGGGUGUUAGGCAAGGGGACCCACUUUCAUAUUUCCUUUUUACCCUAGUAGCUGAUGUCUUCAGUAGAAUCAUCACUAAGGUUGAUAGGGAAGAUGGAAGGUGUGGAUUAGUGAUGGAGUUCAAGCCAGCGACUACAUGGAGAAGAAAGCUGGAGUUCGAAGCCAAAAAGUACAUAUUUGAAGCUUGCAAAAACAAGGGACAGGUGUGCCUGAAGAUUAGAGAAGAGAAAAAAAAAUAAUUAUUUUUCUUUGCAGGGAUGCAGUGAUUUGGGUGAAGGGUUUUGUGGAUGCAUUUACUUACAACAAGAAGCAAACUGGAUGGAAAGGUCAGUUGAAUAUGGGAAGGAAGAACUUUAUAGCUAAGCUGAGAAACAAUAGAAAGGGGUGGUUCACAGUUAUAACAGAACGUUUUGGGGAAAGCAACAGGAAGUUCGUGUGUAUUCCGAAAGGAAAUAGGAAGACGGGUUGAAGUGUUUUGUAGAUAAGCUACAGGAGUACUUGGUAUUGACGGAGAUGAAUGAAAAGGUUCAGCAAAAGAUUUCAACGGAGAAAGCAGAGAUGGGGGAGAAUGAGAGUGUUUUGGUAGGAAAGGGAGAGCAAAUAACUCAGAAGGCAGUGAAGGAAUACAUUGCUUGCUCUGUUAAAUUGAGUAAAUUGGAGUUGAAUGUUGAUAAACAGAAAUGGAAUAACAAAUUUGUGUUGAUAGCUAGAAAAAAGAUUAAGGACUGGCAGCUCAUUGCAGAGGAAAUAAUGAAGAAUUUUAGCAUUAAAAAACUUGUUCUUGUGGUGUCGUUUAGUGAAAACAGAGCCAUUCUCGACAUAGGGGAGGUGAAAAUAGAACUCUCUUCUUUUGAAACACAGGAAGGUUUGAUCGUCAUCGAAGAAUGGCGUAUGUCUUGUAAUGAGAGAGAUAUUACAGUAGCUUGCUUCAACAUCAAGCUUCUUGGGGUUCCGUUCAACUUCUGGAAUAAGUCGAUAGUAGAUAAAAUAGUCCACACGGUGGGUGGAUCAAUGGAGGACUACGGCUUCAGUGACUUGAUGGAGAUCAAAGUAAGAAUCCGAGGGAUCAAGCCGGAAGAGGUGCCCCGUCUGGUCACUUUCUUCUCGGAGGGACUAUGGAGGAAGAUAUGGGUCCUAACGGAACUGGAAGCAUCUUUGUGGAGGAGCUGUUCAAAGGAGGAAGAAGAAGGUGACAUGGAGGAAGGAAGCGUACGUGGUAGACUUUUAGUGGGAGGGGAAGGAAAGGAACAUGGAGAACUUUUUGGGGAAGAGGAAGAGUCGAGUUCCAAGGGGGUACUGGGCGGCCACAUUGAAAGAGGAAAUAAUUCAAAAAUAUUUAAGGCGAAAAGCCAAGUGGUCGGCCCAUCAUAUGCUGAUGUGGUUAAGAUUCUGGGUGGGUUGACUUUCAAACCGGGGGGUAUCAGCAGUGACCCAUGUGGGUCAGGGCAGAGGGCUGGAAAAGAAGCCGGGCAGGUCGACCUUUGAACCGGGGGGAGUUGUUAGUGACCCACAUGAUAACUUAAAGUCUCACGUGGGUCGAGCUAAGGGGCUAGUCGAUAGUGGAUAGAUCUUCUGGUUUAUCUUCUUCCAAAGCAGCGAAUUUAAAAAGGAGAAAACUACAGUGGCGGAGCGAGAACAACAGUGAUCUACGGUUGGUGCCCCAUCGAAACUAUGAAGACCUCAGAGAAAUCGAAUCCCAGGUAUGCAAGAGAGAGAACUGAAGAAAGGGAGGAAUUGGAUGAAGGUUGGGUGCACUGUGGAGUAAACAACGAAGAGCCGGAGGACAAUUUGGAUGAGGGUACCAGCAUUGGAAGCGUGAAUGAUGAUGGUGAGUACGACAUAGGUGACUUGGGCAUGCUGAACAUUACAAGCCUAUUCCAGGAGGACAUAGAGGAGAAAUGGAGAUUGAACCCAGACAGCCAGAGAAGUCCGAUAGUUGAUGAAGAGUUGGGUCUCUUGAUGUAAAUGAGGCUAAAGACAUUAGUCAAAAUGUUGUGCUCCCAAGACUUCCGAUUGUGCAAGGUGCAAAAGAAGGGGUAAACUUGGAGAACCUGAGGCAGAGCGAGAACACACCAAUAAGAGGUAAACAAUGGGUAGAGAGGACAGAUUGCCAAAUUGCCCAAAGGACAGAAAUGCUUACCAACAAACUCAAGGAGAUAGACAUUGACCAACCAUCUAAACAAAGAAAGGGAGGAUAGGAACAACAUUAUGUGCCCCCAUUCAUCCUUCCAGUCAAACUCAGGCAUUGCUUUUUAGGGUGCAAAAAGGGCAAGAGAACUACACAGAUUAUCAUAAAUUUUGAAAGGAAUURAACACAAGACCAAUGUGUGUUCUUCUAAGAGACCAAAAAAUGCUUUAGAAAAAGCCGUAGCAAGGAGAACAAAAC
This is a non-coding RNA of Nelumbo nucifera (sacred lotus), 4047 nucleotides long. The record is from RefSeq and is a predicted model, not a curated record. NCBI's taxonomy places the organism in Eukaryota, Viridiplantae, Streptophyta, Magnoliopsida, Proteales, Nelumbonaceae.